AUAGAAUUUAAGAGCUGACUUGAUAGAUUUUCUUUGAGUAUUGAUUUAAUGAGAUUUGAGUGUGUAUUGACUUUAUAAGAGCUUUGCAAAGUUGGAGUUUUGAGUGACUCUGGAUUUAUAAAAUAAAGUGGGUGAUACUUUUUGGAGAAUUUUGUAGUUUUGGCAAUAGAUCUAUAGGUGAAAUUUUGAGGAUUUGUGGGUAUAUAUG
This 208-nucleotide long non-coding RNA is filed under the name Physcomitrium patens. Its description in RNAcentral is "long non-coding RNA (PPAT_LNC010458)". The record is from RNAcentral. Lineage: Eukaryota; Viridiplantae; Streptophyta; Bryopsida; Funariales; Funariaceae.